This 69-nucleotide transfer RNA is filed under the name Bilobella aurantiaca. Its description in RNAcentral is "tRNA-Ser". The record is from RNAcentral. Lineage: Eukaryota; Metazoa; Arthropoda; Collembola; Poduromorpha; Neanuridae.
AAUUGUUUAACUUAAAUUAAAGUGAGUAUCUUGAAAAUAUUUAAUAAAGUAUUAAACCUUUAACAAUUU